CCUACGGGUGGCAGCAGUGGGGGAUAUUGCACAAUGGGGGAAACCCUGAUGCAGCGACGCCGCGUGUGGGAAGACGGUCCUCUGGAUUGUAAACCACUGUCCCCAGGGACGAAGAUGACGGUACCUGGGGAGGAAGCUCCGGCUAACUACGUGCCAGCAGCCGCGGUAAUACGUAGGGAGCGAGCGUUGUCCGGAAUUACUGGGUGUAAGGGGAGCGUAGGCGGGGAUGCAAGUUGGGUGUAAAAACUACCGGCUCAACUGGUAGUCGCACUCAAAACUGCAGCUCUUGAGUGAAGUAGAGGCAGGCGGAAUUCGUGGUGUAGCGGUGAAAUGCGUAGAUAGUAGGAGGAACCCCGGUGGCGAAGGCGGCCUGCUGGGCUUUUACUGACGCUGAGGCUCGAAAGUGUGGGGAGCAAACAGGAUUAGAUACCCUUGUAGUC
RNAcentral lists this ribosomal RNA (440 nucleotides) under uncultured bacterium. Its description in RNAcentral is "partial 16S ribosomal RNA". It matches the Rfam family "Bacterial small subunit ribosomal RNA", at positions 338 to 795 of the family's 1533-position model. The record is from RNAcentral.